GGCUGGGGAGGGACCAACUGUGAACUGAACCAUGAUGACUGCGGGUCCUCCCCCUGUGUACACGGAGCCUGUCAGGAUGACGUGGCGAGCUACACCUGUUGCUGUGAAAGCGGCUGGGAAGGGACAAACUGUGAUCAAGAUAUCGACGAGUGCGCUAGCAGUCCAUGUUUGCUGGGAGGGACCUGCCUGGAUCACGUGGCCGGCUACAGCUGUGUCUGUCCUAAAGAUGCCACCGGGAAGCACUGUG
This is a long non-coding RNA of Branchiostoma floridae (Florida lancelet), 247 nucleotides long. RefSeq lists it as uncharacterized. The record is from RefSeq and is a predicted model, not a curated record. NCBI's taxonomy places the organism in Eukaryota, Metazoa, Chordata, Leptocardii, Amphioxiformes, Branchiostomatidae. The transcript is spliced from 3 exons.